Molecule: transfer RNA, 65 nt
Filed under: Syntypistis chambae
Lineage: Eukaryota; Metazoa; Arthropoda; Insecta; Lepidoptera; Notodontidae
Description: tRNA-Tyr
Source: RNAcentral
AAUAAAAUGGCCGAGUUAUAGGCGAUAAAUUGUAAAUUUAUUUACGAAAAAUUUUUCUUUUAUUA